UAACAGAAUACUUUAAACAAUACCUGUAUUUUGCGCACUUAUUCGAUCAAUUUCCUAGAAAUUGGGUAUUUACAACUACAGCUAACCGCUCCGUAGCGACAAAACGCAUCAAGAAUUGUUGAAUUGACGGUAUCACAGAUGACUGAGGACCCAAGCGAUUGAUUAUGGAUCAUAAAGAAAAGAGUAAGAAUACAGAUACAUCAAACUUUCAUAAAUUAGUUUGGAAGGAAUCCGAAGGAGGCAAACAUACCCAUGCCAUUGUAGAUCGAAAGAGGAUGCCAUUUCCAGCCUCAGAGUCCUCUGGCAAGGGACACAAAAGUAACAGCGAGGAUACUUCACACACUCAAAAGACCAAAAAUAACUCUGUUCAGUUAUUUGAAUGUUGAACUUGACAGACUCAGAAGACCAGAAAUGACUUUGUCUUAUGUUAAUCCUCGCUGUGGUUAGGUCGACUUUCUCUUUCGUUUUCGUCUUGUUUGUUGUUUUGAGCUGUCACAAAUUAGAAACUUCAGGAACUUCCUUUCAGUUAGACAAGGGCAUGCGAUUACCGCUGACAAAACACUUUGGCCUGGAGGCUUGACAAAUCUAUGAUACACUUGAUUCAUUGUAAAUUACUACUACUGCACAAACAAAUGUAAACUCGUAUAUUUUAAAGGCAGCUGUCUCAACCUUUGUAAAUCCUUGUUACGAUAUUGCCAAUUGUAAAUAUCGGUUAGUUGACUUGAUAUGUCCUUCCUCUAGUCUACAGAUUUGGUAAGAUCUUGACCACCCGUGUCAGAAAGUUGUAAUAAAAAAUAAAAAUACCAACUAUAUGUUGGC
Orbicella faveolata is the source of this 819-nucleotide long non-coding RNA. RefSeq lists it as uncharacterized. The record is from RefSeq and is a predicted model, not a curated record. NCBI's taxonomy places the organism in Eukaryota, Metazoa, Cnidaria, Anthozoa, Scleractinia, Merulinidae.